This 497-nucleotide ribosomal RNA is filed under the name uncultured bacterium. Its description in RNAcentral is "partial 16S ribosomal RNA". It matches the Rfam family "Bacterial small subunit ribosomal RNA", at positions 28 to 507 of the family's 1533-position model. The record is from RNAcentral.
GAUGAACGCUGGCGGCGUGCCUAAUACAUGCAAGUCGAGCGAACAGACGAGGAGCUUGCUCCUCUGACGUUAGCGGCGGACGGGUGAGUAACACGUGGAUAACCUACCUAUAAGACUGGGAUAACUUCGGGAAACCGGAGCUAAUACCGGAUAAUAUAUUGAACCGCAUGGUUCAAUAGUGAAAGACGGUUUUGCUGUCACUUAUAGAUGGAUCCGCGCCGCAUUAGCUAGUUGGUAAGGUGACGGCUUACCAAGGCAACGAUGCGUAGCCGACCUGAGAGGGUGAUCGGCCACACUGGAACUGAGACACGGUCCAGACUCCUACGGGAGGCAGCAGUAGGGAAUCUUCCGCAAUGGGCGAAAGCCUGACGGAGCAACGCCGCGUGAGUGAUGAAGGUCUUCGGAUCGUAAAACUCUGUUAUUAGGGAAGAACAAAUGUGUAAGUAACUAUGCACGCCUUGACGGUACCUAAUCAGAAAGCCACGGCUAACUACGUG